UAAUCUUUUCGUGCAAAGCAUAUCACGAUUUCUGCGCUUUGCGAGACCAAGUUACAAGCCAUCGCACUGCUCUUUUGUCUCCGUGUGUCGGUGUUCUUUCUCGUCGACACCCGAACGAGCGAGUCAGGCGUGUGCGUUCCUGCAAUCGAUUUUAAACUGGUUAGCUUGUCUCUUUAGCUCAGACCUCAGAUAAACCUGGCGAAUAAAGGAAUAAAUGGACAGAUUUGGCGACAGAGCGAAUAGAAUAGGAGAAUCGCUGUCGAGAAGCCAUGGGAGAGCGCGUCCGUCGUAUUACUGCCGGAUAGAAACGUUAAAUCUGAGAAGGGAAUAUUAUCUGGCUUUUGUUUUUCCCUCAUUCGUUAACUCUUUGCCUUGUAGACAUUUCUGUCGAUAGAAUUUUCUAUAACGGCACAUCUCACAAAUCACAGGUUUAUAUUAAUGCACUCGUUCUGAUGAUUUCUAUAGUAUCAGCUCAUAAACAGGGACUUUUUAUAAAGCGGAUGCUCCACAUAAUCUAUGGCUAAUAACAAAUGGAUUCUGUCUGUUUUAUAACUUUAAAGAGAGAGAAAAAAGGACAGGCUCGUGAGUUAAUAGCUGUUAUGAUGUGAGGGAUAACAGGGUCUGACGUGUUUUGCGGACCUUCCCCAACACGAAAAGAAACCACUAUGGAUAAAGUAGUAGUUGGUAAAUUGUUGCCGUAUGGCAACAAUGUGACAUGGUGGAAAGUAUCAUCUGACUACGUUUACAUGGACAGCAGUAAUCUCAACAUUGACCUUAUUCUGAAUAAGACUGUAUUCUGAUUAAGGUGUUUACAUGAGUCGCUUUUAGAAUAUUCCUUUCAUGUUCCUGUUUCACGUGUUAUAGAACAUAGAUCAGUUAACAGCACACGUCAUUACGUCACCGCGCCACGCCGUCCGACGUUCCCUCCAGAAUUUCACGUAUCAACACACGGUCGGUCUUCGUUAUGGAACCGUAUACAGUUUUGGGUGUUUUUGUUUAAUUUCUUUACGAACGCUUCGAGUGCGGUUAAUUAUUUGUCGUGCUGUACGUGCGAAUAGACGACCGCUUGAAGCCCCGUGCUCUCGUUUGCCGUAAAACGGUCGAGCGCUGCCGUGUGUGAUCGUGUCCUGUCGCAAAAUGCGGUGAAAACUCUCACACGGCGUUAAUAAUGUGAUUAAGGACUUUAUAUGUCUGUAAUACAUGUCGGUAAUGCGACUAAAACAGGAAUACUCUUAAUUCGAUUUGGGUUUACUUCGAGUAUGACUUUAAUCGGAUUAAGGUCAUUAAAAAUUGCUGUUUACAUGCUAGUUUCCUAAUCAGAGUAUCGUCUUAAUCGGGUUAAUAGUGGAUUAUUGUUGUCCAUGUAAACGCACUGAGUGUGACAUGGUGGAAAGUAUCAUAUAGUCAAAAAUUUGCAGAGAUUUAUUUAUUUAUUUAUUUUCCCUGCCAUCUAAUCAGCAUGCAAGUUACUACUUCUAGAAAGGAAUUACAGUUGUAAUUAAAUAGUAUGUGGAUGGAUUUCCUCACUCAAAA
Ictalurus punctatus (channel catfish) is the source of this 1533-nucleotide long non-coding RNA. The record is from Ensembl. NCBI's taxonomy places the organism in Eukaryota, Metazoa, Chordata, Actinopteri, Siluriformes, Ictaluridae.